Molecule: long non-coding RNA, 733 nt
Organism: Haliotis rufescens (red abalone)
Lineage: Eukaryota; Metazoa; Mollusca; Gastropoda; Lepetellida; Haliotidae
Exons: 5
Source: RefSeq, a predicted model, not a curated record
CAUGAUUGGAUAAUCGCUCAAGCCAAUGUAGGACAACACUUCGCGGAUCUCUGCUACUAUAAAUGACUCCGAACACUCAGGUUCGCUACCCCAUCCCUGACCCACAGCAGACUGAUCACCCACACCAGAUUCGAAAGCCCUAACAACAGCAGAAACAAUGUCAAACUGGUGCUGCUCUGCCAAGGUGACCCUCUACGAGAAGGAAUGCUUCAAGGGUAAACGUUUGACAGUCAGCGACGACCUCGCAAAUUUGGGAGCGUUCGACAAUUCCGUAUCCUCCGCCGUUGUCCAUGAGGGAGAUUGGGCGCUUUACAGUGAGAUCAAAUAUUCCGGGAAGCGGAUGAUCCUCAGUGAAGGAAAGUGCUACAGCAGCCUCCCAGGCCUGAAUAACAUUGCUUCAUCCAUCUGUAAAAUUUGAGUUGGCGACAAGAUGAAGGAGCAGCUCAUCCUUUGUUGGGAGGCUGACCUGCUUCACAUUCUUCUGACCACCUGCUACACACGGAUCAAGUUGUAUUCCUUGUUAAAACAGCUACAAAAGCACAUAGAAUGUUAUAUUGAAAUUGAAACAAUCUUAGAGUAAUUUUAACCAUGUACAUCGUCAAGUGGUGAAAUCUUUAUCACCGAAUAAUAAUCGCUGGCAAAAUGAAAAAAAAAUAUGAAUAAACGUGACAAUUCGAUGCUUGGAUGCAAAUUUCAGUUGUUGCUUGAAACAUCAAUAAAAGAUUGAAAUUCA